RNAcentral lists this ribosomal RNA (497 nucleotides) under uncultured bacterium. RNAcentral's name for it is "partial 16S ribosomal RNA". It matches the Rfam family "Bacterial small subunit ribosomal RNA", at positions 28 to 507 of the family's 1533-position model. The record is from RNAcentral.
GAUGAACGCUGGCGGCGUGCCUAAUACAUGCCAGUCGAGCGAACAGACGAGGAGCUUGCUCCUCUGACGUUAGCGGCGGACGGGUGAGUAACACGUGGAUAACCUACCUAUAAGACUGGGAUAACUUCGGGAAACCGGAGCUAAUACCGGAUAAUAUAUUGAACCGCAUGGUUCAAUAGUGAAAGACGGUUUUGCUGUCACUUAUAGAUGGAUCCGCGCCGCAUUAGCUAGUUGGUAAGGUAACGGCUUACCAAGGCAACGAUGCGUAGCCGACCUGAGAGGGUGAACGGCCACACUGGAACUGAGACACGGUCCAGACUCCUACGGGAGGCAGCAGUAGGGAAUCUUCCGAAAUGGGCGAAAGCCUGACGGAGCAACGCCGCGUGAGUGAUGAAGGUCUUCGGAUCGUAAAACUCUGUUAUUAGGGAAGAACAAAUGUGUAAGUAACUAUGCACGUCUUGACGGUACCUAAUCAGAAAGCCACGGCUAACUACGUG